UCCUGGGAACAGAAUCGGCAUCCCUGAAUUCCUCUCAUCACUUGGGGCUGACGCAGGCAGCGAUGCACGCCCCACCGCUGGAUCAUCACCCCGGUUAUCAACCCCCACUAGAAUAUAAGCUCCAUGAAGACACACGGAAUCGUCAGUGCCUAACGCUCAGCCUCCACAGAGAGGAGCCGUAGUGAAGC
This is a long non-coding RNA of Eubalaena glacialis (North Atlantic right whale), 188 nucleotides long. RefSeq lists it as uncharacterized. The record is from RefSeq and is a predicted model, not a curated record. NCBI's taxonomy places the organism in Eukaryota, Metazoa, Chordata, Mammalia, Artiodactyla, Balaenidae. The transcript has 3 exons.